GGAAGAUACUGUACAUGACACAUGCGAGAAGCUCUGGUUACCAACAGCACAAACAAUGCCUGAUUCAGGGGCUCAGGUGAAGAAAACAAUACCAGAGAGGUUACAUAAUUUGGCCACUGUCACUCAGCUUGCAGACGCAGCUGCUAGAACCUUGAGGAGACGAUCGUCAAGACUUAUAAGUCAAUGAGUUGAGGUUGACUUCAAAUGGAAAUAGGGGAACUUACAAUGGACUUCUCAGAAGAAGGGCAUGUGGGAUCUUCCUGGAGCAGGGAUCAAACCCGUGUCCUCUGCAUUGGCAGGCGGAUUCUUAACCACUGCACCACCUAGGAAGACCAAUGUGUCCUGUCUUUUACUGUAAAAUGCUUUGCUUCCGCUCACCCCCCUUAAAUUGUAUCAACUGGAUUUAUGUAAUUUGGGACUCACCUGGUUGACUGAGUCUGCUCCUAGGGCAAGAUCUUAGUGAAAGUCUUGCUGCCAAAAGGGCAAAUAAAGCCAAUCUGGAGCCAUCGUUACAUCUCCAGGGUAUCAUUUGUCAAAAGAUGCUGAGACCUCUUGGGAGGAUGACCUCCAAGGUUGAAUUGGGGUCAAGGUUUGCUCUUCCCUUUCUCCCUGAUAAUGUGCCUGUCAGCUCUCAGGAGAUGUGUACUGCUAUGAUAUUGAGAUGAGAAUGGGAGGCUGAUACCAUCUUAGAAUUUAUGUAAGCUUCGGUCAAAUGAACCCCUUUGAACGAGGUGAGAGACAGCCAAAGCCCGCUGCCGUGGGAUGGGAUGCAUCCAAGGCGAGUGAAGGCUCUGUUUUUUAUGAGCCAGAUGGGUCUCUCUCCUCCAUCUUAUCCUGGAAAUGCAAGGAUCAGAGCCUCUCCAAGUAGGGGCUGGUAAAAGGAUCAGUUAAUGUUUUCCCCAAGGUUCUUUAUAGAAGUUUUUUACUUGCCCUGCUAGAGGUCAUUCCAGUUCUGUUUAUGAAAUAGUUGCUAGUUAAGAACGUGGCUGUCAUCCAUCCUCUAUGUUGGGCCAGUUUUGUGGUAGGAAUCCUGUUUUUCUGGAGAUGUCAGGGCUAUAAACUGGUUCCUGGGAUGAUGGCUCAUGUAUCCUACCAAUCUAGCACUGUAUUUUAUGCCAUUUUGUGUGAUUCCCUCCACAAGAUUGGGCAUUCCUUGAGCCCAAAUAGUGCAGUUUAUAUUUUCCUUAAUUCCCUGUCUGGUACACAGCCUAAACACACUGUACCUAUGAAGAAGCAACUUGAUUUGAGUUAUUAAAGGCUUAAAUUCAGCAGAAACAUACAUUAAUAGCAAAAUAUUUAUGUAUUGUAUAUAGAGUAAAAAUUUAUGGUAAAAAUAGUGUUACUUAUUCAAGUCAGCAAUGAGAACUGGAAACUUUUUUUAGAAAAAAUAAUCUUGGUAAAAGACUUUGACUUAAAUGUCCAAAAGUUUUCAAUAACACCCAUUUAAAAAGUGAUAGAAAAUGUUGCAGAAGGUGAUAAGUCAGCUUGGAAGUUGCCAACUUUGUGUUCAUGCAUGUAAAGAAGCCGGACAACACUUCUGAAAACUUAGAACCAAAGAAAGGUUGAGCCAUGUGACAGAUGUUGAACACAUCCCCAAGAGUAGAUGGUUUAUCAUCCUUGCGUGUGUCAUGAGGGUAGUUUAGGCGAACAUGUCAAGUAUGUGCGCAGAUAAGGGGAAAGCACAUUUUGAGAAUGCCUUCCCUGAACUAGAGCACCGCAGUUCUGAUGUGACCAAGAGCCACCACGUGGCAUCCUUCCAAAGGGGUUUUCACAUACCUGAGGUCUGACAUCCCCCCGGGGCGCUUGCAGCCUGAGUGCACCUGGAAAUUAAAGGAAGCCUCUGGCGCCCAAGCAUUUUCUUUUUAAAUUUGAACAAUGUGAGGGACGUACG
Molecule: long non-coding RNA, 1891 nt
Organism: Hippopotamus amphibius kiboko
Lineage: Eukaryota; Metazoa; Chordata; Mammalia; Artiodactyla; Hippopotamidae
Exons: 3
Source: RefSeq, a predicted model, not a curated record